Long non-coding RNA from Etheostoma spectabile (orangethroat darter), 100 nucleotides. RefSeq lists it as uncharacterized. The transcript has 3 exons. Lineage: Eukaryota; Metazoa; Chordata; Actinopteri; Perciformes; Percidae. The record is from RefSeq and is a predicted model, not a curated record.
UGCCGCCAUUCGAGUGACUCCCUCGCAAAUGAUUCUGAAUGGCAGAUUCUACGCGUACGAGAAUACUUUGAUUAGUUGGUGGAAUGAGCACAUUUGUAAA